AUACGGAGGGUGCGAGCGUUAUCCGGAUUUAUUAGGUUUAAAGGGUGUGUAGGCGGGAGCCUAAGUCAGUGGUGAAAUCUCACAGCUUAACUGUGAAACUGCCGUUGAAACUGGGUUUCUUGAGUAUAGUUGAGGUAGGCGGAAUGUGUAAUGUAGCGGUGAAAUGCAUAGAUAUUACACAGAACACCGAUUGCGAAGGCAGCUUACUAAGCUAUUACUGACGCUGAUGCACGAAAGCGUGGGUAGCGAACAGGAUUAGAUACCCUAGUAGUCC
This 274-nucleotide ribosomal RNA is filed under the name uncultured bacterium. Its description in RNAcentral is "partial 16S ribosomal RNA". It matches the Rfam family "Bacterial small subunit ribosomal RNA", at positions 523 to 796 of the family's 1533-position model. The record is from RNAcentral.